GACGAACGCUGGCGGCGUGCUUAACACAUGCAAGUCGAACGGAAAGGCUCCAGCUUGCUGGAGUGCUCGAGUGGCGAACGGGUGAGUAACACGUGGGUAAUCUGCCCUGCACUCUGGGAUAAGCCUGGGAAACUGGGUCUAAUACUGGAUAUGACCUUUCUCCUUAUGGGGUUUGGUGGAAAGUUUUUCGGUGUAGGAUGAGCCCGCGGCCUAUCAGCUUGUUGGUGGGGUGAUGGCCUACCAAGGCGACGACGGGUAGCCGGCCUGAGAGGGUGAUCGGCCACAUUGGGACUGAGAUACGGCCCAGACUCCUACGGGAGGCAGCAGUGGGGAAUAUUGCACAAUGGGCGGAAGCCUGAUGCAGCGACGCCGCGUGAGGGAUGACGGCCUUCGGGUUGUAAACCUCUUUCAGCAGGGACGAAGCGUAAGUGACGGUACCUGCAGAAGAAGCACCGGCUAACUAUGUG
This 467-nucleotide ribosomal RNA is filed under the name uncultured bacterium. RNAcentral describes it as "partial 16S ribosomal RNA". It matches the Rfam family "Bacterial small subunit ribosomal RNA", at positions 28 to 507 of the family's 1533-position model. The record is from RNAcentral.